This is a long non-coding RNA of Hyla sarda, 2619 nucleotides long. RefSeq lists it as uncharacterized. The transcript has 2 exons. The record is from RefSeq and is a predicted model, not a curated record. NCBI's taxonomy places the organism in Eukaryota, Metazoa, Chordata, Amphibia, Anura, Hylidae.
AUAUAUAAAAAAAAUUUCCUGGAUAACCCCUUUAAAGGUGAUCUGGAUCCAAGUGCGACACUUCCAUAUUUGCCACCAGCAGGGGGCGGUAUUUUAUAUACAGAUUCCAGGAAAUACAGCAACCGUUUCGUUUUUUGAUUUUUUUUUUUUGGCCCUAAGAGGCAGCGAGAUGCCUGUAAACGUGGAGCUUAAUAUAUAUAUAUAUAUAUAUACAUAUGCACAUAUAUACAAUAAAUCGCCCAUAGGUACCACCCUCAUAAACUCUCUCUCUAUAUAUAUAUAUAUAUAAAAUAAAGAUGAAUAUAUUACCCUUCAUGUAGAAUAUAUAACACAAACCCUCCGUUUCCCUCCCCCAUUAUAGAUGUCGUCAUAUACUUGGUGGAUCACAUGGUCACUUUAGAUCCUGAAUUGCACUUUACCGGACACGGCCACUUUGGUUAACCAGGACAAUAAGGGAGCGAGUAAACCCCACCCCACCCCCCCGCCCGCGCUUCGUCCUGGCUGCGUUACAAUGUAUCAGUUACAGAAUGCUGGGAAAAACUGCAGUGUUGGGUUAAAACACUGUUUCACAACCGGUGUGCCUCCAGCUGUUGCAAAACUACAACUCCCAGCAUGCCCGGACAGCCGACGGCUGUCCGGGCAUGCUGGGAGUUGUAGUUUUGCAACAGCGGGAGGCACCCUGGUGCUAAAGUUCAGUUCAGCUAAGUGCAUAUCCCUCGUCUUGCAGGGGCGAUCAUAUAGAACCUCAUUUGUUAACCCCUUCCCACCAACCACCACCAAAAAAAAAAUAUAUAUAUAUAUAAACCCACUAAGCAGAUAGAGGGGGCAUCAUUGCACCCCCUUCUAAAAGGACACAUGGAAAGAAGUCGUAUUUGCACAUUGAGAUUAGAUUUUAGGACUACUGUCCCUUUAAAUGUCCAGCUUUAGGCUUGAGGGUAAGUUUUCCUCCCCCCCCCGUUUCGGCCGCCAUGUCUAGGAAUGACGUGAAGCCCUCAGUAUUUACACAUGAAGCGGGAUCGGUCACAGCGAUCAUGGGAUCUAGUCACAGUGUUGCCCAGUUUAAAAUAAAAAACACAAGCGGGACGGCUUCCUGGCCCGACGAAAAUCCAGUCCUGGUAAUUUCUCAGAAUUAUUUUUUUUUUUUUCAGCUUAAACGUCAUCAUUCCUGAGUAAUAAAAAAAAAUUAACGUUUAAAGUUUUGCGUAUUGAAUUGUGUUCUAAAUUGGUCCAAAAAUCGGAGCUAAAAAAAUCUGAUACUAUAUCAAAAUAUAGGUCGUAGCGUCGCAUUCCCCCCCACACAGCCAUAGUGGGAAUUCUGUCUGCUUGUGCCGCCACUAGGGGGAGCUCACCGCAUAGAAUAAUACAGCACAAUAAUAAUAGUCAUGUCCCCCUAUUGGACAUGCCUCCUUUUUGCAUCAUCUGGAGGGCCACAGUUUGGAGACCACUGGUUUAACCAAUAUGAUAUUAACCCUACAGAGCAAUGAUCUUCAAAAAAGUGCAAAACUACAACUCCUAGCAUGUCCGGGGUUGAGGUUUUGCAAUAUUUGGAAUGCGGCAGGGAUAGUCUACAGCAGUGGUCUUCAACCUGCAGAUCUCCAGAUGUUGCAAAACUACAACUCCCAGCAUGCCCGGACAGCCAGUGGUUUUUGCAAUAUUUGGAAUGCGGCAGGGAUAACGUUUACAGCAGUGUUCUUCAACCUGCAGACCUCCAGAUGUUGCAAAACUACAACUCCCAGCAUGUCCGGACAGCCGUUGGCUGUCCGGGCAUGCUGGGAGUUGUAGUUUUGCAACAUCUGAAGGUCCGCAGGUUGGAGACCACUGGUUUACAGUGUAAGUGGUAUAUUGUAUACAUAGUGCCUUGGCCCUCCAGCUGUUGCAAAACUACAACUCCCAGCAUGCCGACAGCUGGAGGGCCACAGUUUGAAGUCGACUUACUUAGUGCAAUUCCAGCCUGCAGUACCUGUAACCACCACCAGAGAGCAGCACUUUGACAGGGUAGGGGGCGCCACCUGAAAUAUAACCACCAAGAUGCUGUGGUCACUACCGACUGCAGCCAUCUUGCCCGAGCUCAUGGGAGAAUUUAGUGGGCAUGCUCAGUGCAAUCACCUAUCCUCAAUGGUGAAUCCUGGGAUAUCUGCCGCCACUUUAUAAUAGGGCACCGUCUAUUAUAAAAGGAGAAAUCACUAAAAAAACAGAUCCUUUUUCCAAAAAUAGUUGUGCUGUAUUGCAGUCGAGUCCCAUUCGUUUCGAUGAGUUGCAAUACCAGACUCAACCAUGGACAGGUGUGGCGCUGUUUCUGGAUGGCAGCCAUAUAUUUUUUUUAAUCUUUGACAACGCUUAUGGCUGUAUGAGGAGGAUUAGGAUGAGUUUUGGACCUAUUUAGAACGAUGAUCGAUCGAAUAAAACAACUGGACGCCAGACGUCGCCUUCGUCACCUGUUUGCUCCCCUGGCGGUCACCGCCCCGGAGACAACUAUCAGAAGGUCCACAUUUCCAAGUCCUGAGUUGGGUUUUGGCAGCUUCUAGUUUUGCUCCUCACCCUUUAGGUUGUCCCUGACGGCAGAUACCGAGCCCCUACAAGAACCUAGGAGGCCCGAGUUAUAAUACAAAAUGGCGCUCA